Ictidomys tridecemlineatus (thirteen-lined ground squirrel) is the source of this 1323-nucleotide non-coding RNA. NCBI's taxonomy places the organism in Eukaryota, Metazoa, Chordata, Mammalia, Rodentia, Sciuridae. The record is from RefSeq and is a predicted model, not a curated record.
GCUUCUUGUGGCUGAGAUGAUUUGUGGCAUUCUAGAGUUGGGAUUCUCCAAGGCAGCCACUCCAGCACCUCUUCCCCAUAUGACAACCCCAUCAACCUGGCUGAGCUGACUCCUGGCCCGACAGUGAUGUUCCAUCUGCUGAUGCUUAUGCCAUCUCUCAACUCCCAGCCCUGAAGCCCGGCUCACCCGGCCUCCCUGCUCACCUCUAAGCAGGCUUCCUUGCCCUUGUUCCUCUGCACAGGUGUGGGCCCCUUACUCCCACUGUCACUUAUUUCUCUAUAUCUCCACUGUCCAAGGUAGUAGCCACUGGCCAUGUGUAGCUGCUAAACACUUGAAGUGUGGCCAGUCUGAAUCAAGAGUGCAAAGUACAUACUGGAAUUCAAAGAGUGUGAAAAAAAUCAAUGUGAAAGUCCACGCCUGGUCCUGAAUGAUUAUUGUGUUCUGCAGUAACUUGGGUGUUACCCUAGCUCGGAUAACAUGGCGUGGCUCCAGGUGUAGGCGUCACUCACCUGCUCCUUUGUAAUCCUACCCUUUUGCUCUUUUAGGGAUAGAAUGUUCCAUGGAACCUCCCCUUGUGGGAUCCCCAUAUAAGAAUAAAGAAUUCUAGUGUCUCUCUCUCUUUCCAUGGAUCUUUAAGGAGAGAGCCGUCACGGAUUUUGAAAAGGGAGGUCUUGAGCUCUCAGAGGACAAAGCAGGGAUCCUGUCCACUCCAUAAGAAAAGCACAGAAUGACAGUUGGUGGGAAUAAAAUACACUUCCUAAGGGAGCUUGGUAAUGUAUGCUGAUGGCCUUAUUCCAUGCUGAACAUGUCCAGAGAAGUAAAAUAACCUCCUUACUCACCAUGUCACACAGCUGGUUACAGAUAGAGAUGGACUUACACUGGAGACCUCCGGACAAAUCUGUGCAGACCACAGAAGUAAAACUCCUCCUAAGCUCUUCAUUUUUCAGGCUACAUUAGAAAUAGAUGGUCUUGUUUUAAGUGCCAGAUUUUAAGAGAGACUCAAUAAAUACUUUCCAGAUGAGUUAAUGUUGAAAGAAUUACUUUGACAACUUGGAUGAGCUGAGGAAGAAUGAUGGAGAGAUCUGGGAGCUGUGUCAUUUGAGAACCGGAUGGAUCUGUUGGAAUCCUGGAGAAGGGACAGUGAUGGGACACAGGGCCACACUCUUCCCAUAUGUCUUUCCUUGCCCACCAAAACUUAGCUCCAAGCAGGCACGCCACAAAUAUUUGUUGUGUGAGUGAAUUAAUUGUCUUACUUAGAGAAGAGAGGGCUAGUUUAUUACAGGCUGCUCCAGAAAGCUCAAUAAUAGCUAAUAAGUAGGAAAG